RNAcentral lists this ribosomal RNA (404 nucleotides) under uncultured bacterium. RNAcentral's name for it is "bacterial SSU rRNA". It matches the Rfam family "Bacterial small subunit ribosomal RNA", at positions 355 to 775 of the family's 1533-position model. The record is from RNAcentral.
UGAGGAAUAUUGCCCAAUGGCCGCAAGUCUGAGGCAGCAACGCCGCGUGGGCGAUGAAGGCCUUCGGGUUGUAAAGCCCUUUUCUGGGGGAAGAGGAAGGACGGUACCUCAGGAAUAAGUCACGGCUAACUACGUGCCAGCAGCCGCGGUAAUACGUAGGUGGCAAGCGUUAUCCGGAUUCACUGGGCGUAAAGCGCGUGCGGGCGGUUUCGUAAGUCGGACGUGAAAGCUCCUGGCUUAACUGGGAGAGGUUGUUCGAUACUGCGGGGCGUGAGGUCGGGAGAGGGACGUGGAAUUCCCGGUGUAGUGGUGGAAUGCGUAGAUAUCGGGAGGAACACCAGUGGCGAAGGGGACGUCCUGGCCCGCACCUGACGCUGAGACGCGAAAGCGUGGGUAGCGAGCGG